ACAAUGAAGAGUUUGAUCCUGGCUCAGGAUGAACGCUAGCUACAGGCUUAACACAUGCAAGUCGAGGGGCAGCAUGGUCUUAGCUUGCUAAGGCCGAUGGCGACCGGCGCACGGGUGAGUAACACGUAUCCAACCUGCCGUCUACUCUUGGACAGCCUUCUGAAAGGAAGAUUAAUACAAGAUGGCAUCAUGAGUCCGCAUGUUCACAUGAUUAAAGGUAUUCCGGUAGACGAUGGGGAUGCGUUCCAUUAGAUAGUAGGCGGGGUAACGGCCCACCUAGUCUUCGAUGGAUAGGGGUUCUGAGAGGAAGGUCCCCCACAUUGGAACUGAGACACGGUCCAAACUCCUACGGGAGGCAGCAGUGAGGAAUAUUGGUCAAUGGGCGAGAGCCUGAACCAGCCAAGUAGCGUGAAGGAUGACUGCCCUAUGGGUUGUAAACUUCUUUUAUAAAGGAAUAAAGUCGGGUAUGCAUACCCGUUUGCAUGUACUUUAUGAAUAAGGAUCGGCUAACUCCGUGCCAGCAGCCGCGGUAAUACGGAGGAUCCGAGCGUUAUCCGGAUUUAUUGGGUUUAAAGGGAGCGUAGAUGGAUGUUUAAGUCAGUUGUGAAAGUUUGCGGCUCAACCGUAAAAUUGCAGUUGAUACUGGAUAUCUUGAGUGCAGUUGAGGCAGGCGGAAUUCGUGGUGUAGCGGUGAAAUGCUUAGAUAUCACGAAGAACUCCGAUUGCGAAGGCAGCCUGCUAAGCUGCAACUGACAUUGAGGCUCGAAAGUGUGGGUAUCAAACAGGAUUAGAUACCCUGGUAGUCCACACGGUAAACGAUGAAUACUCGCUGUUUGCGAUAUACGGCAAGCGGCCAAGCGAAAGCGUUAAGUAUUCCACCUGGGGAGUACGCCGGCAACGGUGAAACUCAAAGGAAUUGACGGGGGCCCGCACAAGCGGAGGAACAUGUGGUUUAAUUCGAUGAUACGCGAGGAACCUUACCCGGGCUUAAAUUGCAGAUGAAUUACGGUGAAAGCCGUAAGCCGCAAGGCAUCUGUGAAGGUGCUGCAUGGUUGUCGUCAGCUCGUGCCGUGAGGUGUCGGCUUAAGUGCCAUAACGAGCGCAACCCUUGUUGUCAGUUACUAACAGGU
This 1130-nucleotide ribosomal RNA is filed under the name Phocaeicola vulgatus. RNAcentral describes it as "bacterial SSU rRNA". It matches the Rfam family "Bacterial small subunit ribosomal RNA", at positions 1 to 1126 of the family's 1533-position model. The record is from RNAcentral. Lineage: Bacteria; Pseudomonadati; Bacteroidota; Bacteroidia; Bacteroidales; Bacteroidaceae.